GACGAACGCUGGCGGCGCGCCUAAUACAUGCAAGUCGAGCGAGAACCGGGGCUUCGGCCCCGGGGAGAGCGGCGAACGGGUGCGUAUCACGUGAGCAACCUGCCUCGGAGACCGGAAUAA
This 120-nucleotide ribosomal RNA is filed under the name uncultured bacterium. RNAcentral describes it as "partial 16S ribosomal RNA". It matches the Rfam family "Bacterial small subunit ribosomal RNA", at positions 28 to 146 of the family's 1533-position model. The record is from RNAcentral.